This 1183-nucleotide ribosomal RNA is filed under the name Nitrospiraceae bacterium. RNAcentral describes it as "bacterial SSU rRNA". It matches the Rfam family "Bacterial small subunit ribosomal RNA", at positions 1 to 1191 of the family's 1533-position model. The record is from RNAcentral. Lineage: Bacteria; Pseudomonadati; Nitrospirota; Nitrospiria; Nitrospirales; Nitrospiraceae.
UUUAAUGAGAGUUUGAUCCUGGCUCAGAACGAACGCUGGCGGCGUGCCUAACACAUGCAAGUCGAACGGAGUCAUUUUGAAGUAGCAAUACGGAUGGAUGACUUAGUGGCGCACGGGUGAGUAACACGUAGGUAACCUGCCCUUAAGAGUGGGACAACCCCGCGAAAGCGGGGCUAAUACCACAUAAGACCACGAACUGAGAUGUUAGUGGUAAAAGGAGCAAUCCGCUUUAGGAUGGGCCUGCGGCCUAUCAGGUAGUUGGUGAGGUAACGGCUCACCAAGCCUAAGACGGGUAGCCGGUCUGAGAGGACGGACGGCCACACUGGAACUGAGACACGGUCCAGACUCCUACGGGAGGCAGCAGUGGGGAAUUUUGCACAAUGGGCGAAAGCCUGAUGCAGCGACGCCGCGUGGAGGAUGAAGGCCUUCGGGUUGUAAACUCCUUUUGUAGGGGAAGAUAAUGACGGUACCCUGCGAAUAAGCCACGGCUAACUCUGUGCCAGCAGCCGCGGUAAGACAGAGGUGGCAAGCGUUGUUCGGAAUUACUGGGCUUAAAGGGCGCGUAGGCGGUAAGAUAAGUCUGUGGUGAAAUCCUAUGGCUUAACCAUAGAAUUGCCUUGGAAACUGUUUUACUUGAGUCAGCGAGGGGAUGGUGGAAUUCCUGGUGUAGCAGUGAAAUGCGUAGAUAUCCGGAGGAAGGCCGGUGGCGAAGGCGGCCAUCUGGCGCUGAACUGACGCUGAGGCGCGAAAGCGUGGGUAGCAAACAGGAUUAGAUACCCUGGUAGUCCACGCCCUAAACGGUGGGCAUUAGGUGUAGGGCUCGUAAGGGUUCUGUGCCGUAGGGAAACCAUUAAAUGCCCCGCCUGGGGAGUACGGCCGCAAGGUUGAAACUCAAAGGAAUUGACGGGGGCCCGCACAAGCGGUGGAGCAUGUGGUUUAAUUCGACGCUACGCGAAGAACCUUACCUGGGCUUGACAUGUUAGUGGUAAAAACCCGAAAGGGCGAUGAUCCCGAGCAAUCGGGAAGCUAACACAGGUGCUGCAUGGCUGUCGUCAGCUCGUGUCGUGAGAUGUUGGGUUAAGUCCCGCAACGAGCGCAACCCUUAUCCUCUGUUACUCCGCAAGGAGGUCUCUGAGGAAACUGCCGGCGAUGAGCUGGAGGAAGGUGGGGAUGACGUCAAGUC